Molecule: ribosomal RNA, 917 nt
Filed under: uncultured bacterium
Lineage: Bacteria
Description: bacterial SSU rRNA
Rfam family: Bacterial small subunit ribosomal RNA
Source: RNAcentral
AGUUUGAUCCUGGCUCAGGACGAACGCUGGCGGCGUGCCUAACACAUGCAAGUCGAACGGAACUGUUUUGAAAGAUUUCUUCGGAAUGAAUUUGAUUUAGUUUAGUGGCGGACGGGUGAGUAACGCGUGAGUAACCUGCCUUCAAGAGGGGGAUAACAUUCUGAAAAGAAUGCUAAUACCGCAUGACAUAUCGGAACCACAUGGUUCUGAUAUCAAAGAUUUUAUCGCUUGAAGAUGGACUCGCGUCCGAUUAGUUAGUUGGUGAGGUAACGGCUCACCAAGACCGCGAUCGGUAGCCGGACUGAGAGGUUGAACGGCCACAUUGGGACUGAGACACGGCCCAGACUCCUACGGGAGGCAGCAGUGGGGGAUAUUGCGCAAUGGGGGCAACCCUGACGCAGCAACGCCGCGUGAAGGAUGAAGGUUUUCGGAUUGUAAACUUCUUUUAUUAAGGACGAAAAAUGACGGUACUUAAUGAAUAAGCUCCGGCUAACUACGUGCCAGCAGCCGCGGUAAUACGUAGGGAGCAGGCGUUGUCCGGAUUUACUGGGUGUAAAGGGUGCGUAGGCGGCUUUGCAAGUCAGAUGUGAAAUCUAUGGGCUCAACCCAUAAACUGCAUUUGAAACUGUAGAGCUUGAGUGAAGUAGAGGCAGGCGGAAUUCCCCGUGUAGCGGUGAAAUGCGUAGAGAUGGGGAGGAACACCAGUGGCGAAGGCGGCCUGCUGGGCUUUAACUGACGCUGAGGCACGAAAGCGUGGGUAGCAGACAGGAUUAGAUACCCUGGUAGUCCACGCUGUAAACGAUGAUUACUAGGUGUGGGGGGUCUGACCCCUUCCGUGCCGGAGUUAACACAAUAAGUAAUCCACCUGGGGAGUACGGCCGCAAGGUUGAAACUCAAAUGAAUUGACGGAAGGGCGA